UACGUAGGGGGCGAGCGUUGUCCGAAGUUACUGGGCGUAAAGAGUGCGUAGGCGGGUUACCAAGUCUGCUGUGAAAGCCCGGGGCUCAACCCCGGAGGGUCGGUGGAUACUGGUAGUCUUGAAGAUGCUAGGGGGAGAUGGAAUUACAGGUGUAGCGGUGAAAUGCGUAGAUAUCUGUAGGAACACCAGUGGCGUAGGCGGUCUCCUGGGGCAUUCUUGACGCUGAGGCACGAAAGCUGGGGGAGCGAACGGG
Molecule: ribosomal RNA, 253 nt
Filed under: uncultured bacterium
Lineage: Bacteria
Description: partial 16S ribosomal RNA
Rfam family: Bacterial small subunit ribosomal RNA
Source: RNAcentral